Molecule: transfer RNA, 67 nt
Filed under: Aleocharinae sp. 6 EF-2015
Lineage: Eukaryota; Metazoa; Arthropoda; Insecta; Coleoptera; Staphylinidae
Description: tRNA-Tyr
Rfam family: tRNA
About the family: Transfer RNA (tRNA) molecules are approximately 80 nucleotides in length.
Source: RNAcentral
GGUAAAAUGGCUGAGGGCUAGGCGAUAAAUUGUAAAUUUAUAAACGAGUGUUAAAAUUCUUUUACCA